AUUGAACGCUGGCGGCAGGCCUAACACAUGCAAGUCGAACGGUAACAGGAAACAGCUUGCUGUUUCGCUGACGAGUGGCGGACGGGUGAGUAAUGUCUGGGAAACUGCCUGAUGGAGGGGGAUAACUACUGGAAACGGUAGCUAAUACCGCAUAACGUCGCAAGACCAAAGAGGGGGACCUUCGGGCCUCUUGCCAUCGGAUGUGCCCAGAUGGGAUUAGCUAGUAGGUGGGGUAACGGCUCACCUCGGCGACGAUCCCUAGCUGGUCUGAGAGGAUGACCAGCCACACUGGAACUGAGACACGGUCCAGACUCCUACGGGAGGCAGCAGUGGGGAAUAUUGCACAAUGGGCGCAAGCCUGAUGCAGCCAUGCCGCGUGUAUGAAGAAGGCCUUCGGGUUGUAAAGUACUUUCAGCGGGGAUGAAGGGAGUAAAGUUAAUACCUUUGCUCAUUGACGUUACCCGCAGAAGAAGCACCGGCUAACUCCGUG
RNAcentral lists this ribosomal RNA (490 nucleotides) under uncultured bacterium. RNAcentral's name for it is "partial 16S ribosomal RNA". It matches the Rfam family "Bacterial small subunit ribosomal RNA", at positions 30 to 507 of the family's 1533-position model. The record is from RNAcentral.